GGGUUGUGAGGUUAAGCGACUAAGCGUACACGGUGGAUGCCCUGGCAGUCAGAGGCGAUGAAGGACGUGCUAAUCUGCGAUAAGCGUCGGUGAGGUGAUAUGAACCGUUAUAACCGGCGAUUUCCGAAUGGGGAAACCCAGUGUGUUUCGACACACUAUCAUUAACUGAAUCCAUAGGUUAAUGAGGCGAACCGGGGGAACUGAAACAUCUAAGUACCCCGAGGAAAAGAAAUCAACCGAGAUUCCCCCAGUAGCGGCGAGCGAACGGGGAGCAGCCCAGAGCCUGAAUCAGUGUGUGUGUUAGUGGAAGCGUCUGGAAAGGCGCGCGAUACAGGGUGACAGCCCCGUACACAAAAAUGCACAUACUGUGAGCUCGAUGAGUAGGGCGGGACACGUGGUAUCCUGUCUGAAUAUGGGGGGACCAUCCUCCAAGGCUAAAUACUCCUGACUGACCGAUAGUGAACCAGUACCGUGAGGGAAAGGCGAAAAGAACCCCGGCGAGGGGAGUGAAAAAGAACCUGAAACCGUGUACGUACAAGCAGUGGGAGCCUCUUAAUGGGGUGACUGCGUACCUUUUGUAUAAUGGGUCAGCGACUUAUAUUCUGUAGCAAGGUUAACCGAAUAGGGGAGCCGAAGGGAAACCGAGUCUUAACUGGGCGUUAAGUUGCAGGGUAUAGACCCGAAACCCGGUGAUCUAGCCAUGGGCAGGUUGAAGGUUGGGUAACACUAACUGGAGGACCGAACCGACUAAUGUUGAAAAAUUAGCGGAUGACUUGUGGCUGGGGGUGAAAGGCCAAUCAAACCGGGAGAUAGCUGGUUCUCCCCGAAAGCUAUUUAGGUAGCGCCUCGUGAAUUCAUCUCCGGGGGUAGAGCACUGUUUCGGCAAGGGGGUCAUCCCGACUUACCAACCCGAUGCAAACUGCGAAUACCGGAGAAUGUUAUCACGGGAGACACACGGCGGGUGCUAACGUCCGUCGUGAAGAGGGAAACAACCCAGACCGCCAGCUAAGGUCCCAAAGUCAUGGUUAAGUGGGAAACGAUGUGGGAAGGCCCAGACAGCCAGGAUGUUGGCUUAGAAGCAGCCAUCAUUUAAAGAAAGCGUAAUAGCUCACUGGUCGAGUCGGCCUGCGCGGAAGAUGUAACGGGGCUAAACCAUGCACCGAAGCUGCGGCAGCGACACUAUGUGUUGUUGGGUAGGGGAGCGUUCUGUAAGCCUGUGAAGGUGUACUGUGAGGUAUGCUGGAGGUAUCAGAAGUGCGAAUGCUGACAUAAGUAACGAUAAAGCGGGUGAAAAGCCCGCUCGCCGGAAGACCAAGGGUUCCUGUCCAACGUUAAUCGGGGCAGGGUGAGUCGACCCCUAAGGCGAGGCCGAAAGGCGUAGUCGAUGGGAAACAGGUUAAUAUUCCUGUACUUGGUGUUACUGCGAAGGGGGGACGGAGAAGGCUAUGUUGGCCGGGCGACGGUUGUCCCGGUUUAAGCGUGUAGGCUGGUUUUCCAGGCAAAUCCGGAAAAUCAAGGCUGAGGCGUGAUGACGAGGCACUACGGUGCUGAAGCAACAAAUGCCCUGCUUCCAGGAAAAGCCUCUAAGCAUCAGGUAACAUCAAAUCGUACCCCAAACCGACACAGGUGGUCAGGUAGAGAAUACCAAGGCGCUUGAGAGAACUCGGGUGAAGGAACUAGGCAAAAUGGUGCCGUAACUUCGGGAGAAGGCACGCUGAUAUGUAGGUGAAGCGACUUGCUCGUGGAGCUGAAAUCAGUCGAAGAUACCAGCUGGCUGCAACUGUUUAUUAAAAACACAGCACUGUGCAAACACGAAAGUGGACGUAUACGGUGUGACGCCUGCCCGGUGCCGGAAGGUUAAUUGAUGGGGUUAGCGGUAACGCGAAGCUCUUGAUCGAAGCCCCGGUAAACGGCGGCCGUAACUAUAACGGUCCUAAGGUAGCGAAAUUCCUUGUCGGGUAAGUUCCGACCUGCACGAAUGGCGUAAUGAUGGCCAGGCUGUCUCCACCCGAGACUCAGUGAAAUUGAACUCGCUGUGAAGAUGCAGUGUACCCGCGGCAAGACGGAAAGACCCCGUGAACCUUUACUAUAGCUUGACACUGAACAUUGAGCCUUGAUGUGUAGGAUAGGUGGGAGGCUUUGAAGUGUGGACGCCAGUCUGCAUGGAGCCGGCCUUGAAAUACCACCCUUUAAUGUUUGAUGUUCUAACGUUGGCCCCUGAUCGGGGUUGCGGACAGUGUCUGGUGGGUAGUUUGACUGGGGCGGUCUCCUCCUAAAGAGUAACGGAGGAGCACGAAGGUUGGCUAAUCCUGGUCGGACAUCAGGAGGUUAGUGCAAUGGCAUAAGCCAGCUUGACUGCGAGCGUGACGGCGCGAGCAGGUGCGAAAGCAGGUCAUAGUGAUCCGGUGGUUCUGAAUGGAAGGGCCAUCGCUCAACGGAUAAAAGGUACUCCGGGGAUAACAGGCUGAUACCGCCCAAGAGUUCAUAUCGACGGCGGUGUUUGGCACCUCGAUGUCGGCUCAUCACAUCCUGGGGCUGAAGUAGGUCCCAAGGGUAUGGCUGUUCGCCAUUUAAAGUGGUACGCGAGCUGGGUUUAGAACGUCGUGAGACAGUUCGGUCCCUAUCUGCCGUGGGCGCUGGAGAACUGAGGGGGGCUGCUCCUAGUACGAGAGGACCGGAGUGGACGCAUCACUGGUGUUCGGGUUGUCAUGCCAAUGGCACUGCCCGGUAGCUAAAUGCGGAAGAGAUAAGUGCUGAAAGCAUCUAAGCACGAAACUUGCCCCGAGAUGAGUUCUCCCUGACUCCUUGAGGGUCCUGAAGGAACGUUGAAGACGACGACGUUGAUAGGCCGGGUGUGUAAGCGCAGCGAUGCGUUGAGCUAACCGGUACUAAUGAACCGUGAGGCUUAACCUUACAACGCCGAAG
RNAcentral lists this ribosomal RNA (2925 nucleotides) under Escherichia coli. Its description in RNAcentral is "23S ribosomal RNA". It matches the Rfam family "Bacterial large subunit ribosomal RNA". The record is from RNAcentral. Lineage: Bacteria; Pseudomonadati; Pseudomonadota; Gammaproteobacteria; Enterobacterales; Enterobacteriaceae.